This 253-nucleotide ribosomal RNA is filed under the name uncultured bacterium. Its description in RNAcentral is "partial 16S ribosomal RNA". It matches the Rfam family "Bacterial small subunit ribosomal RNA", at positions 524 to 776 of the family's 1533-position model. The record is from RNAcentral.
UACGUAGGUGACAAGCGUUGUCCGGAUUUACUGGGUGUAAAGGGCGCGUAGGCGGGAUAGCAAGUCAGUCGUGAAAUGCCGAGGCUUAACCUCGGAGCUGCGAUUGAAACUGUUAUUCUUGAGUAUCGGAGAGGAAAGCGGAAUUCCUAGUGUAGCGGUGAAAUGCGUAGAUAUUAGGAGGAACACCAGUGGCGACGGCGGCUUUCUGGACGACAACUGACGCUGAGGCGCGAAAGUGUGGGGAGCAAACAGG